Molecule: ribosomal RNA, 468 nt
Filed under: uncultured bacterium
Lineage: Bacteria
Description: partial 16S ribosomal RNA
Rfam family: Bacterial small subunit ribosomal RNA
Source: RNAcentral
GACGAACGCUGGCGGUGUGCUUAACACAUGCAAGUCGAACGGAAAGGCCCUGCUUUUGUGGGGUGCUCGAGUGGCGAACGGGUGAGUAACACGUGAGCAACCUGCCCUUGAUUUUGGGGUAACUUCAGGAAACUGGGGCUACUACCGGAUAGGAGCUCCUGUUCCAUGGAGGGCGGUGGAAAGUCUCGGCGGUUGGGGAUGGACUCGCGGCUUAUGAGCUUGUUGGUGGGGUAGUGGCUUACCAAGGCUUCGGCGGGUAGCCGGCCUGAGAGGGUGACCGGCCACAUUGGGACUGAGGUACGGCCCAGACUCCUACGGGAGGCAGCAGUGGGGAAUAUUGCACAAUGGGCGGAAGCCUGAUGCAGCAACGCCGGGUGCGGGAUGACGGCCUUCGGGUUGUAAACCGCUUUCGCCUGUGACGAAGCGUGAGUGACGGUAAUGGGUAAAGAAGCACCGGCUAACUACGUG